UGGGGAAUUUUGGACAAUGGGGGCAACCCUGAUCCAGCAAUGCCGCGUGUGUGAAGAAGGCCUUCGGGUUGUAAAGCACUUUUGUCCGGAAAGAAAACGCCGUGGUUAAUACCCGUGGCGGAUGACGGUACCGGAAGAAUAAGCACCGGCUAACUACGUGCCAGCAGCCGCGGUAAUACGUAGGGUGCAAGCGUUAAUCGGAAUUACUGGGCGUAAAGCGUGCGCAGGCGGUCCGCUAAGACAGAUGUGAAAUCCCCGGGCUUAACCUGGGAACUGCAUUUGUGACUGGCGGGCUAGAGUAUGGCAGAGGGGGGUAGAAUUCCACGUGUAGCAGUGAAAUGCGUAGAGAUGUGGAGGAAUACCGAUGGCGAAGGCAGCCCCCUGGGCCAAUACUGACGCUCAUGCACGAAAGCGUGGGGAGCAAACAGGAUUAGAUACCCUGAUAGUCCACGCCCUAAACGAUGUCAACUAGUUGUCGGGUCUUCAUUGACUUGGUAACGU
Molecule: ribosomal RNA, 501 nt
Filed under: uncultured bacterium
Lineage: Bacteria
Description: partial 16S ribosomal RNA
Rfam family: Bacterial small subunit ribosomal RNA
Source: RNAcentral